GCCUCAUAGCUAGCCCGCCCUUCCAACAACAACAAGUCCCUAUCAAUACCCCCAAACACACGGAACCUCCCUGCAAAACAAACCAUUUUUCCCCUUUAGUAUGAGCGACAGAAAAAGACCCACGGAGCAAUAGAAACAGUACCGCAAGGGAACGCUGAAAGAGAAAAUGAAAUAACCCAGCAAAGCCUAAAAAAGCAGAGAUUUAAACUCG
RNAcentral lists this ribosomal RNA (211 nucleotides) under Platycephalus indicus (bartail flathead). RNAcentral describes it as "partial 16S ribosomal RNA". The record is from RNAcentral. Lineage: Eukaryota; Metazoa; Chordata; Actinopteri; Perciformes; Platycephalidae.